This 443-nucleotide ribosomal RNA is filed under the name uncultured Streptococcus sp. Its description in RNAcentral is "bacterial SSU rRNA". It matches the Rfam family "Bacterial small subunit ribosomal RNA", at positions 936 to 1382 of the family's 1533-position model. Lineage: Bacteria; Bacillati; Bacillota; Bacilli; Lactobacillales; Streptococcaceae. The record is from RNAcentral.
AGCAUGUGGUUUAAUUCGAAGCAACGCGAAGAACCUUACCAGGUCUUGACAUCCCGAUGCUAUUUCUAGAGAUAGAAAGUUACUUCGGUACAUCGGUGACAGGUGGUGCAUGGUUGUCGUCAGCUCGUGUCGUGAGAUGUUGGGUUAAGUCCCGCAACGAGCGCAACCCCUAUUGUUAGUUGCCAUCAUUCAGUUGGGCACUCUAGCGAGACUGCCGGUAAUAAACCGGAGGAAGUGGGAUGACGUCAAAUCAUCAUGCCCCUUAUGACCUGGGCUACACACGUGCUACAAUGGUUGGUACAACGAGUUGCGAGUCGGUGACGGCGAGCUAAUCUCUUAAAGCCAAUCUCAGUUCGGAUUGUAGGCUGCAACUCGCCUACAUGAAGUCGGAAUCGCUAGUAAUCGCGGAUCAGCACGCCGCGGUGAAUACGUUCCCGGGCCUU